This 350-nucleotide unclassified non-coding RNA is filed under the name soil metagenome. RNAcentral describes it as "partial contains 5.8S ribosomal RNA, internal transcribed spacer 2, and large subunit ribosomal RNA". The stretch from base 1 to 120 matches the Rfam family "5.8S ribosomal RNA", at positions 35 to 154 of the family's 154-position model. The record is from RNAcentral.
GAUGAAGAACGUAGUGAAAUGCGAUAACUAAUGUGAAUUGCAGAAUUCAGUGAAUCAUCGAGUCUUUGAACGCACAUUGCGCCCCCUGGCAUUCCGGGGGGCAUGCCUGUCCGAGCGUCAUUGCUGCCCUUCAAGCCCGGCUUGUGUGUUGGGUCGUCGUCCCCCCCGGGGGACGGGCCCGAAAGGCAGCGGCGGCACCGCGUCCGGUCCUCGAGCGUAUGGGGCUUUGUCACCCGCUCGAUUAGGGCCGGCCGGGCGCCAGCCGGCGUCUCCAACCUUCUAUUUUACCAGGUUGACCUCGGAUCAGGUAGGGAUACCCGCUGAACUUAAGCAUAUCAAUAAGCGGAGGA